RNAcentral lists this non-coding RNA (23 nucleotides) under Cricetulus griseus (Chinese hamster). Lineage: Eukaryota; Metazoa; Chordata; Mammalia; Rodentia; Cricetidae. The record is from RNAcentral.
UUCUCACUACUGCACUUGACUAG